Molecule: long non-coding RNA, 359 nt
Filed under: Brassica napus (rape)
Lineage: Eukaryota; Viridiplantae; Streptophyta; Magnoliopsida; Brassicales; Brassicaceae
Description: long non-coding RNA (BNAP_LNC017876)
Source: RNAcentral
ACGAAUAGAUGUCGAAUUCAACUUCAUUCUUUUAAACAAUCAGAAGUUUCAUAAUCCAUAAGAUCGUCUUGUUCAUGAUUGAAAUCAUCUUCACCAUCUUGAUAUGUCAUAUGAGCUUGAGAAUUCUUCCCUUUCAAACUCUCUUAGUAGAGGUCAACGAGAUGUUUGGGAGUCCAAUGUCUUAGCCCAAUGAUUAUCCAUACCACAUCUAUGGCACACGGAUUUGGUCGAGUUUGGUGGCUUAAAAGAUGUACGACGGCCUCGGCCAUGUCCACGGCCUCCAUAGGAGCCACGGCCAUAUGAGUUGCCUUGCCCUCGACCAAACGAGUUUCGGUCUCGACCACCACGUCCAUGCCAUU